UGCACCCGCCAGAUUCGGCCGGAAAGGCAGACUGCUUAAGUUUCCCUUUUUUUCCAUACGGUUUGCAUUUACCUGCCUUCGCUCCUGGGUCCUCCUUUAAUCCCGUCCAAAUAUGUACCCUGUGAAGGAAUCGCCAAUUCGCUCAACAGUCGAACUCUAGAGAGCUAUGCUGGGCAGACAUGAAGAGGAAUUAUCUGCUGCCUGACAUGCUGUGGAAAGCCUGGCAGCUCAGGUCACUGAUCUGACCAACCGGUUACACCUCUUGCAGAGCCAACCAUCUUCUCCUGAGCCCAGAAUCAACGAUCCCCCUUGCUACUCGGAUGAGCCUACUGAAUGCCGAGCCUUUUUAACCCAGUGAGAAAGUUUUGUUCUCUCUGCAGCCUUCCACCUCUGUGGAGGACCGCUCUAAGAUUGCCUAUGUGGUUUCUCUCCUCAGUGGACGAGCACGCGGCUGGGGAACAGCCAUCUGAGAGGCUGAGUGUUGCGAGCAGUUUGCUCUGUUUAAGGUGACGAUUAAGGUGUUCGACCGCUCUGUCCACGGGUAUGAGGCCACUCAUUUGCUCGCCAUGCUGUGACAGGGGAGGUGAUCUGUAUCUCACUACGCCAUUGAGUUUUAUUCGCUAGCUGCUACAUGCGAUUUGAAUAAACCGGCUCUGGUUGCGCACUUUUUAGAGGGGCUCAGUGCGAGAUUUACUCCCUUGAAAUUCCUGCCCAUCUGGAUCAGCUGGUGGAGCUGGUAAACUGCCUUGACAAGUGGUUUGAACUUCGUUGCCAUGCUCUGGGUUAUAGUGAUGAUCAAAGAGACAUUUUCCCCGCUGCUGUCACCUCCUCCGAAUCAUUCUUGGGGACUGAGCCAAUGCAACUGGGAAGUCUCCGCAUUUCUUCUGCAGAACGCCAAUGCCGUAUCCAAAAUGGACUUUGUUUGUACUGCGGUGCCGCUGGUCACUUUGCUCCUGCCUGCCUAGUGGAAGCAAGGGCUCGUCAGUAGACAGGGGAGUACUGGUGAGCGUUACAACACUUUCCCCUGCCUCAAAGACUCGCACGUCGCUUGCCGCUCUUCUGCUCUUGGGAAGCUCCUCCUUCUCCUGUACUGCUCUCAUCGACUCUCAUCCACCACGGGCAAUCAUAAAGACACUAUCACCUUUUUUAUUUUUCUGUCUUUUACACUAGCAGUUUUGGGUAGUGCAGCAUAAUCCUCAGAUCAACUGGGCAGAAGGAGGAGCCCGGUGAUUUGUCUGGAGUGCCGGAGGAGUACCACGAUCUGCGGGCGGUGUUUAGUCGUUCCCGGGCUGCUUCUCUCCCUCCUCAUCGACCUUAUGACUGCAGUAUUGAUCUAUUCCCUGGCGCAACUCUGCCGUCCGGGACUCACUUGCCGCUGGUACCAUUGUCCCGUCCUCCUCUCCUGCCGAGAUGAGAUCACUAUAAAGAACUGGUACAUGUUCGCCAUGUGUUGCAGUGUCUUUUGGAGAACCACCUUUUUGUGAAGGCUGAGAAAUGCACAUUUCAUGCCAUGGGGGUCAGCCGGUGGAUGGGAUCAGUAUGGAUCCUGCCAAGAUUCAAGCCAUUAUUGAUCGGCCCAUUCCUGAGUCUCGCAAUGCGCUCCAACGAUUUCUGGGGUUUGCACAUUUUUACCGAAGUUUCAUCUGAAAUGUCAGUCAAGUAGCCACCCCUUUAACCGCUCUCACCUCGACCAAAUCUCGCUUCGUCUGGUUGGAGGCGGCCCAGCUCGCGUAUGAUUGCCUUAAGAGGUUUUUCACCACUGCGCCUAUUCUAAUCACUCCCAACCCCAAGGAGCAAUUCAUUGUGGAGGUGGAUGUGUCCGACAUGGGUGUGGGGGAGGUGCUUUCGUAGCAUUUUUUCUCUACAAGAAGAUUCACCCAUGCACGUUCUUUUCUCACCGGCUCACGCCAUCUGAGCGUAAUUAUAGUCUAGGAAACCGGGAGCUUUUGGCCAUCUGACUGGCUCUGGGAGAGUGGCGGCAGUGGUUAGAGAGGGCUACCAUUCCGUUCAUAGUUUGGAUCGAUCACCGAAAACUCGAUUACAUUCGUUCAGCUAAGAGAUUAAAUGCCUGGCAGGCUCGUUGGUCGCUUUUUUUUUUUUUUAACUUUUAAUUUCACUACAGAUCCGGGUCUAAGAAUGUGAAACCGCAUGCCCUCUCUCGCUAGUUCGGCUUUGAGACCGCGUGGCUGGGACCCUUGUCUGAGGAAUCGUGCGGCUGGUAAAAAGAGUGCUUAACAAUGUCCCUAUACUUCGGCGCUGUCGAAAGGAGGAAUUGUAUGUUCCUGAGUCUGUUCAUCCAGCCAUCGUCCUUUGGGCCACUCCUCAAGGCUGACUGCUCAUCCUGGGGUGAGGGGUACUCUCGAAACGAUUAGUCAGAGAUUUUGGUGGCCCAUGAGGGCACUUGAUGUCCGUCAUUUCGUUACAUCUUCCCCUGUUUGCACCAAAGCCAAAUCUAGUGAUUAUCUGCCCUCUGGUCUGCUCAGGCCCCUUCCUAUUUCUUCUUGUCCGUGGUCCCAUAUUGCCUUAUAUUUUGUCACAGGACUUUCCCCAUCCGCAGGGAACACCGUUAUCCUGACGGUCAUUGACCGCUUUUCUAAGGCGGCUCACUUUGUUGCUCAGUAGUGUUAGUGAGGCCACAAAAAUAGCUUGUUCUUGGAAAUGAAUUCAGGCACGUGUUAGAUGGACAUCCAAAACUUGUUCUUAAAACAUUCUAAUCACUAGAUAAUCAAGAUGUCUGAAUCAAUGAAAUUCAGAGGCCACGAGAAAGAAUGCAGGAAUUAGUUGCUCAAAGUUAAACAUGAAAUUGUGAGUAUACGUCUCCAACAGCAAUAAAUUAACUCAUCAUUAAAAGCUAAUUAAUUUCAGCCCAAAGAAAUCAGUUGCUAUGAGGAGGCUGAGAAUAUAAAAGACUGAUAAGGCAGAGAGUCGACUUGAAGGGAAAAUUUAACAUUAAACAGAAUGCCACGAAAUAAUUAAGAGGGCACAGCAUCCACUCCACAUAUUGAAUACCGGUUUGUAAUGAAACACAUUUCAGUCUGCCAUAUUUAUGUGUAUGAUUAAUGCAUAAUUAUUCCUUUAGCUCUACAGAUUGAGAGGAAUAUGAAGCCAUUCUUUAAGUUAUGCAUUGCAAGAGUAACAUCUAAUUGAUUUCUGCUCUCUUUUCCCAUCCCCAGUGCUGAAUGCUGUUGAAAGCCUUUUCUCACUAUGUAGACAAUUAUUCUCUGAGGUUUGAUGAUUGCAGGUCUGAAGAAACUGAUGGAACAGGAUGUGUUAACAACCUAAAUAAAUGUAUUUU
Molecule: long non-coding RNA, 3295 nt
Organism: Sinocyclocheilus rhinocerous
Lineage: Eukaryota; Metazoa; Chordata; Actinopteri; Cypriniformes; Cyprinidae
Exons: 3
Source: RefSeq, a predicted model, not a curated record